GGGGAAUAUUGCGCAAUGGCCUAACGGCUGACGCAGCGACGCCGCGUGUGGGAUGACGCCCUUCGGGGUGUAAACCACUGUUGCUCGAGACGAAUAGCGAACUUCAGUUCGCCUGACGGUAUCGAGUGAGGAAGCACCGGCUAACUCCGUGCCAGCAGCCGCGGUAAUACGGAGGGGGCUAGCGUUGUUCGGAAUUACUGGGCGUAAAGCGCGCGUAGGCGGCUUUGUAAGUUAGAGGUGAAAGCCCGGAGCUCAACUCCGGAAUUGCCUUUAAGACUGCAUCGCUAGAAUCGUGGAGAGGUGAGUGGAAUUCCGAGUGUAGAGGUGAAAUUCGUAGAUAUUCGGAAGAACACCAGUGGCGAAGGCGACUCACUGGACACGUAUUGACGCUGAGGUGCGAAAGCGUGGGGAGCAAA
RNAcentral lists this ribosomal RNA (416 nucleotides) under uncultured bacterium. RNAcentral's name for it is "bacterial SSU rRNA". It matches the Rfam family "Bacterial small subunit ribosomal RNA", at positions 356 to 772 of the family's 1533-position model. The record is from RNAcentral.